CCUACGGGUGGCAGCAGUGAGGAAUAUUGGUCAAUGAGCGGGAGCCUGAACCAGCCAAGUCGCGUGAAGGAAGAAGGUACUUAGUAUUGUAAACUUCUUUUGUCGGGGAACAAAGGCGGAGACGCGUCUCCGUAUGAGUGUACCCUACGAACAAGCAUCGGCUAACUCCGUGCCAGCAGCCGCGGUAAUACGGAGGAUGCGAGCGUUAUCCGGAUUUAUUGGGUUUAAAGGGUGCGCAGGCGGGAGAUCAAGUCAGCGGUAAAAUGUCGGGGCUCAACCCCGGCCGGCCGUUGAAACUGGUUUGCUAGAGUUGGAGAGAAGUAGGCGGAAUUCGUGGUGUAGCGGUGAAAUGCAUAGAUAUCACGAAGAACUCCGAUUGCGAAGGCAGUUCACUGGACUGCAACUGACACUGAGGCUCGAAAGUGUGGGUAUCAAACAGGAUUAGAUACCCCUGUAGUC
RNAcentral lists this ribosomal RNA (459 nucleotides) under uncultured bacterium. Its description in RNAcentral is "partial 16S ribosomal RNA". It matches the Rfam family "Bacterial small subunit ribosomal RNA", at positions 338 to 795 of the family's 1533-position model. The record is from RNAcentral.